Long non-coding RNA from Zootermopsis nevadensis, 502 nucleotides. RefSeq lists it as uncharacterized. The record is from RefSeq and is a predicted model, not a curated record. NCBI's taxonomy places the organism in Eukaryota, Metazoa, Arthropoda, Insecta, Blattodea, Termopsidae.
UGUUUCGACUCCGUCUUUACGACACAGGAAAUGAAGGUUAAUGCAUAAUUAAGUCUUCCAAGUUUAUAUUGCCCUUGUAGUUUACAUAAAAGCCUUUGACAUGUUAAACAAGAUUAUAUUGUGGAAAACGCAUGAAAGGCUUUCUACGACAUCUCAUACAAAUAAUCCAGUCUGUUUUAGAACAAACUUUAUCACUGAGAUUGGAGAUGGAAGAAAUAACAGAAAAGUUUUUAAUUAACCAACAGUGAGUGCCGGACCUUGACUAGAAAACAGCUACAACAAACUGAACCCAUGUCAAGGAUGCCAACUGUUCAUAUUCCUCAGAAGUCGUUUCAUUACCAUCCAAAAGGAAGAAGAGAACGAUACCAACUGUUGAAGUGAUGGAGAUGGCCUUGUAGAUUAUAUUAAAAAAAAUUAAAAGUAAAGCUGUCCCACUAUAUGUCAUAUAUGCACUGUUUUGUUUUUAUGAGAAUGCCAGAGAAUAUAAGUUAAUUUCAAGUCA